RNAcentral lists this ribosomal RNA (512 nucleotides) under uncultured Campylobacterota bacterium. Its description in RNAcentral is "bacterial SSU rRNA". It matches the Rfam family "Bacterial small subunit ribosomal RNA", at positions 141 to 672 of the family's 1533-position model. The record is from RNAcentral. Lineage: Bacteria; Pseudomonadati; Campylobacterota.
GGAUAGCCAUUGGAAACGAUGAUUAAUACUAGAUACUCCUUCUCCUUAUAAUUGGAGUUGGGAAAGUUUUUCGCUAAGAGAUCGGUCUAUAUCCCAUCAGCUUGUUGGUAGUGUAAGAGACUACCAAGGCUAUGACGGGUAGCGGGUUUGAGAGGAUGAUCCGCCACACUGGUACUGAGACACGGACCAGACUCCUACGGGAGGCAGCAGUGAGGAAUAUUGCACAAUGGGGGAAACCCUGAUGCAGCAACGCCGCGUGGAGGAUGACGCAUUUCGGUGUGUAAACUCCUUUUAUGAGUCAAGAAAAUGACGGUAGCUCAUGAAUAAGCACCGGCUAACUCCGUGCCAGCAGCCGCGGUAAUACGGAGGGUGCAAGCGUUAUUCGGAAUCACUGGGCGUAAAGGACGCGUAGGCGGGUCGCCAAGUCUGAUGUGAAAUCCUACAGCUUAACUGUAGAACUGCAUUGGAAACUGGUAACCUAGAGUAUGGAGGGGGGAAGAAAGGAAAAUUUG